UCCCUGAUAGCUCAGUUGGUAAAGAAUCCGCCUGCAAUGCGGGAAACCUGGGUUCCAUCCCUGGGUUGGGAA
This is a non-coding RNA of Bos taurus (domestic cattle), 72 nucleotides long. NCBI's taxonomy places the organism in Eukaryota, Metazoa, Chordata, Mammalia, Artiodactyla, Bovidae. The record is from Rfam.